UUCUUUUUGUAGUUCAUAAGCAUAAUGACUGGGGUGUCCACGCACAUGUGUAAGAUGUGCCUCUCUCAAACCUUGUUACAAAGUCAACACAUUACCCAUCUGACA
Small nucleolar RNA from Nycticebus coucang (slow loris), 105 nucleotides. RefSeq annotates it as small nucleolar RNA U13. The record is from RefSeq and is a predicted model, not a curated record. Lineage: Eukaryota; Metazoa; Chordata; Mammalia; Primates; Lorisidae. The transcript has a single exon.